GCCCGAUAGUGGGGGAUAACCUGGGGAAACCCAGGCUAAUACCGCAUACGUCCUACGGGAGAAAGGGGGCUCCGGCUCCCGCUAUGGGAUGAGCCUAUGUCGGAUUAGCUAGUUGGUGAGGUAACGGCUCACCAAGGCCACGAUCCGUAGCUGGUCUGAGAGGAUGAUCAGCCACAUCGGGACUGAGACACGGCCCGAACUCCUACGGGAGGCAGCAGUGGGGAAUAUUGGACAAUGGGGGAAACCCUGAUCCAGCCAUGCCGCGUGUGUGAAGAAGGCCCUCGGGUUGUAAAGCACUUUCAGCGAGGAAGAACGCCUAGCGGUUAAUACCCGCUAGGAAAGACAUCACUCGCAGAAGAAGCACCGGCUAACUCCGUGCCAGCAGCCGCGGUAAUACGGAGGGUGCAAGCGUUAAUCGGAAUUACUGGGCGUAAAGCGCGCGUAGGUGGCUUGAUAAGCCGGUUGUGAAAGCCCCGGGCUC
This 481-nucleotide ribosomal RNA is filed under the name Vreelandella aquamarina. RNAcentral's name for it is "bacterial SSU rRNA". It matches the Rfam family "Bacterial small subunit ribosomal RNA", at positions 128 to 610 of the family's 1533-position model. The record is from RNAcentral. Lineage: Bacteria; Pseudomonadati; Pseudomonadota; Gammaproteobacteria; Oceanospirillales; Halomonadaceae.